RNAcentral lists this ribosomal RNA (682 nucleotides) under uncultured fungus. Its description in RNAcentral is "eukaryotic LSU rRNA". The stretch from base 253 to 406 matches the Rfam family "5.8S ribosomal RNA". The record is from RNAcentral. Lineage: Eukaryota; Fungi.
AGUAAAAGUCGUAACAAGGUUUCCGUAGGUGAACCUGCGGAAGGAUCAUUAAAGAAAAUGCCCCGGACGUGUCGAAAGGCGCCGAAGGGACUUCUCUUCCAACCCACCCCCACUGUGAACCUUAGCGUGAGGUCAGUAAGGGCGCACCCUCAAUCCAGGGGGACGGCCGUGAAAGCUUCGCGAAACCCAUACCCACAUACCCAUAUGCAAGUCUCAGAAUGUACAUGUUGCGCGUCGUCGCAAAUAAAAUACAACUUUCAGCAACGGAUCUCUUGGCUCUCGCAUCGAUGAAGAACGCAGCGAAAUGCGAUAAGUAAUGUGAAUUGCAGAAUCCAGUGAAUCAUCGAAUCUUUGAACGCACCUUGCACCCCUUGGUAUUCCGAGGGGUACGCCUGUUUGAGUGUCGUGAAUUCCUCCACUCGACCGCUUUGCUGCGUGUCGAGCUGGGAUGUUGGGGGUGUUUUGCAGGUCCCUUUCGAGGUCUGCUCCCCUUGAAUGCAUUAGUGAGGUUCGGCGCUCGGCCUCGACGUGAUAAAGUCUAUCUACGUCGUGUCCGGUGCUUUGUUUGUCCUGGUCAGCCAGGGAAAAACGGGACUUUGCUUCCAACCGUCUUCGGACAACCGUGCGCUCGCGCACAACCUUCGAACUCGACCUCAAAUCAGGUGGGACUACCCGCUGAACU